RNAcentral lists this ribosomal RNA (476 nucleotides) under uncultured bacterium. RNAcentral describes it as "bacterial SSU rRNA". It matches the Rfam family "Bacterial small subunit ribosomal RNA", at positions 28 to 500 of the family's 1533-position model. The record is from RNAcentral.
GACGAACGCUGGCGGCGUGCCUAACACAUGCAAGUCGAACGGAACUUUUUUAAAAGAUUUCUUCGGAAUGAAUUUGAUUAAGUUUAGUGGCGGACGGGUGAGUAACGCGUGAGUAACCUGCCUCUGAGAGGGGAAUAACAUUCUGAAAAGAAUGCUAAUACCGCAUAAUAUAUAUUUAUCGCAUGGUAGAUAUAUCAAAGAUUUAUCGCUUAGAGAUGGACUCGCGUCCGAUUAGUUAGUUGGUGAGGUAACGGCUCACCAAGACCGCGAUCGGUAGCCGGACUGAGAGGUUGAACGGCCACAUUGGGACUGAGACACGGCCCAGACUCCUACGGGAGGCAGCAGUGGGGGAUAUUGCGCAAUGGGGGAAACCCUGACGCAGCAACGCCGCGUGAAGGAUGAAGGUCUUCGGAUUGUAAACUUCUUUUAUUAAGGACGAAGAAAGUGACGGUACUUAAUGAAUAAGCUCCGGCUAA